RNAcentral lists this ribosomal RNA (510 nucleotides) under Bacillus subtilis. RNAcentral's name for it is "bacterial SSU rRNA". It matches the Rfam family "Bacterial small subunit ribosomal RNA", at positions 44 to 535 of the family's 1533-position model. Lineage: Bacteria; Bacillati; Bacillota; Bacilli; Caryophanales; Bacillaceae. The record is from RNAcentral.
GUGCCUAAUARAUGCUGGUCGAGCGGACAGAUGGGAGCUUGCUCCCUGAUGUUAGCGGCGGACGGGUGAGUAACACGUGGGUAACCUGCCUGUAAGACUGGGAUAACUCCGGGAAACCGGGGCUAAUACCGGAUGCUUGAUUGAACCGCAUGGUUCAAUUAUAAAAGGUGGCUUUUAGCUACCACUUACAGAUGGACCCGCGGCGCAUUAGCUAGUUGGUGAGGUAACGGCUCACCAAGGCAACGAUGCGUAGCCGACCUGAGAGGGUGAUCGGCCACACUGGGACUGAGACACGGCCCAAACUCCUACGGGAGGCAGCAGUAGGGAAUCUUCCGCAAUGGACGAAAGUCUGACGGAGCAACGCCGCGUGAGUGAUGAAGGUUUUCGGAUCGUAAAACUCUGUUGUUAGGGAAGAACAAGUACCGUUCGAAUAGGGCGGUACCUUGACGGUACCUAACCAGAAAGCCACGGUUAACUACGUGCCAGCCGCCGCGGUAAUACGGUCAUAGC